CCAAUCCGCCCGGCGCGCGCCCGCAGCCUCGCCAACUCCCUACUGUCUCCCCCAUCCGCCUACCAAUCGCCACCCUUCCCCGAGGCAGAGGCCCACGGCGACUAGCCCGCCGUCGCCGACGUAGCCACGGCCAGAUAAUGCUGUCCAAGUGGAUGGUCGACGCCCCUCCCCACCUCGCCCACGACUGGCAUGUUUCUGCCAGGCCUGCUGGCAAGCGACACCUGGUCGUGUCAUCGAACGGCAUCACGAUAAGCAGGCUCCGCAAUGGGACCAUUCUCCAUUGGUUCCCUUCGGAGCUUCCCAACUGAUCAAAGAGGGUGAUCUCUGGCCCAGCAAGAUCCUACUGUAUCCGCGACUAAAUAUUCCACGAGUUAGCCAAGCAAAUAGACUUUUCUUUUGAGCCUGACGAGACACACUACGUCGUUGAUAUGAUUUGUUGGCGAGGCUAUUUGCUGUAUGAUUGCACCGCCGAGUUCAGGAUUUUUUGGGUGAACUAGAAGCUCACCGAGAUUUCUGCCGGUGAUCCUCCGUCGACGUACCAUCGGUAUUGGUUUAGUGCCUUCCCUAUGUACGAGUCUACACUCGAGGGUCUUGAAGCAGCGUACUCAGGAAGCACACCUUAUGUCAAGGAUGGUUUGCUGUUUUACAACAAGCAUGUGCAUUAUCAAUCGGGAAUCACGCCCCUGACACUGGUAUGGAAAGAUGUGGCUUGCAGGUUGCAGCCAGUAUGUUCUUGAUACGGAUAGUGAGGGACACGUUCCAACAGAGCAGCACGGAGGUUGUUCUUGAGCUGCAAGAGGAUGGAAAACUAAUUGCUUCUGAUGAGAUCCUAAUUGUAUUUGGUACACCGAAUUUAUACAGAAGUCAAACCUGCAGCCAGGGAACCUUCUCCGCUUCGGCUUGUAGAUGGGAAGAUAGAGAUUGGUGAGCUGCCAUUUGCCGGGAAGCUGAACCAAACGCGUACUCUUGCUGAUAGCCAUUCCAAAGUUCUGUUUCAGUAUGCUGCCAGACAUGCUCCCCUCAGAAUCAAAGACCUCGUAGCCUCUGUUCAAUCAAACAGCAUGGAGGUUGAAUCUACAGAUGCUGAAAUGCAAGAUUAAGUCAUGCAAGGCAGAUUUUUUGCAUUUGACUGGACACCAUGCUAGGAUGAAAUUGUUGUAAGUGAGUCCAAGGGGUAUGCCAGUGGUGGCAUGCAGAUGGACAGCUGCGCAAACGAAGUGAUGUUCCAAAAGAUGUGGUCAUCAAAGAGCAUCGUAUUUCCAAACCUUAUAGAGCACCUCAAGACCUUUUUUUUCGAGGACACCGCAGGAGUUGUACUUGUCAAUAUAUUAAGAUAGAAAGAAUGUAAUUUACAAGAUUUUUGCCAGCGCCAUCAAGGCCUCUGUCACACUGAUGACUCCACAGACGGAGCAUCAGGGCUUAGUCCACUCUACCCUAUUACUAUUAUGGUACAUUAUAAUAACUCUUGCAAUUCCACGAAGCUUCACUA
This is a long non-coding RNA of Lolium rigidum, 1489 nucleotides long. RefSeq lists it as uncharacterized. NCBI's taxonomy places the organism in Eukaryota, Viridiplantae, Streptophyta, Magnoliopsida, Poales, Poaceae. The transcript is spliced from 9 exons. The record is from RefSeq and is a predicted model, not a curated record.